UACGGAAGGCAGCAGUGGGGAAUAUUGCACAAUGGGCGCAAGCCUGAUGCAGCCAUGCCGCGUGUAUGAAGAAGGGCCUUCGGGUUGUAAAGUACUUUCAGUCGUGAGGAAGGUGUUAAGGUUAAUAACCUUAGCAAUUGACGUUAGCGACAGAAGAAGCACCGGCUAACUCCGUGCCAGCAGCCGCGGUAAUACGGAGGGUGCGAGCGUUAAUCGGAAUUACUGGGCGUAAAGGGCACGCAGGCGGUUAAUUAAGUUGGAUGUGAAAUCCCCGGGCUUAACCUGGGAAUGGCAUUCAAGACUGGUUAGCUAGAGUCUUGUAGAGGGGGUAGAAUUCCAUGUGUAGCGGUGAAAUGCGUAGAGAUGUGGAGGAAUACCGGGUGGCGAAGGCGGCCCCUGGGACAAAGGACUGACGCUCAUGUGCGAAAGCGUGGGGAGCGAAACAGGAUUAGAUACC
Molecule: ribosomal RNA, 457 nt
Filed under: uncultured bacterium
Lineage: Bacteria
Description: bacterial SSU rRNA
Rfam family: Bacterial small subunit ribosomal RNA
Source: RNAcentral